AGCUUGCUUCUCUUGAGAGCGGCGGACGGGUGAGUAAUGCCUAGGAAUCUGCCUGGUAGUGGGGGAUAACGUCCGGAAACGGACGCUAAUACCGCAUACGUCCUACGGGAGAAAGCAGGGGACCUUCGGGCCUUGCGCUAUCAGAUGAGCCUAGGUCGGAUUAGCUAGUUGGUGGGGUAAUGGCUCACCAAGGCGACGAUCCGUAACUGGUCUGAGAGGAUGAUCAGUCACACUGGAACUGAGACACGGUCCAGACUCCUACGGGAGGCAGCAGUGGGGAAUAUUGGACAAUGGGCGAAAGCCUGAUCCAGCCAUGCCGCGUGUGUGAAGAAGGUCUUCGGAUUGUAAAGCACUUUAAGUUGGGAGGAAGGGCAGUAAAUUAAUACUUUGCUGUUUUGACGUUACCGACAGAAUAAGCACCGGCUAACUCUGUGCCAGCAGCCGCGGUAAUACAGAGGGUGCAAGCGUUAAUCGGAAUUACUGGGCGUAAAGCGCGCGUAGGUGGUUCGUUAAGUUGGAUGUGAAAUCCCCGGGCUCAACCUGGGAACUGCAUUCAAAACUGACGAGCUAGAGUAUGGUAGAGGGUGGUGGAAUUUCCUGUGUAGCGGUGAAAUGCGUAGAUAUAGGAAGGAACACCAGUGGCGAAGGCGACCACCUGGACUGAUACUGACACUG
This 675-nucleotide ribosomal RNA is filed under the name uncultured bacterium. RNAcentral's name for it is "bacterial SSU rRNA". It matches the Rfam family "Bacterial small subunit ribosomal RNA", at positions 77 to 748 of the family's 1533-position model. The record is from RNAcentral.